RNAcentral lists this long non-coding RNA (1034 nucleotides) under Equus caballus (horse). RNAcentral's name for it is "lncRNA (ENSECAG00000047748.1)". The record is from RNAcentral. Lineage: Eukaryota; Metazoa; Chordata; Mammalia; Perissodactyla; Equidae.
UGUGUAGAGGAAAUGUCUUCCUCCCCUAUAGUGUGUACCCAAACGGGAAGGGCAUUAGUGGCAGGAUUGUCUGCACCAUCCCCAGAGAGAGAAGGGAUUGAACAGGACCGAGCCGCGGCACCUUCCCUUGGCUACAGAUGAGAUGUGAUGGGGCUGUGGGUCUCCCCAGUUGGCUCCAGGAGCCCACUGGUGACCUUGGCAGUAGGAGGAGAGGAUAUUGAACUUUUUCUCAAUAAUGGAGCCAGGUUCUCAGUGUUGAAUGCCCCAAAGGGAAACUUUUACAAAGGAAAGUGUGACAAAGAAGAAAGGUAUCAGGAAAAAGAGAGACCAGAAGGUUUCUGGAGCCCUUGAUCUGUGAAAUAGGAUCAAAAAUGCUGAAGCAUUCUUUUCUGUAUGUUCCAGAAUGCCCUGUUCCCCUCCUAGGGAGGGACAUGACAUCUAAGUUAGGGGCCUCGAUAAGCUGGGAACAGGAGAAUGUGGACUUGUUCAAGACCUUAGUGCUGUCAAUGCUGAAUAGUACUGGAUUUAUAAUAGUAAAAUCUUCAUUUCGGUUCUGGCACAGAGCUCCUAUAACUUCUGUUAUUUCCCGUAUGAGAGCCAUACAGGCAUCUUUUCUUAUAAUAAUUCCUUUAGUCCUCAGUUCCUGAAAUAACUCCAGAGCAGUAAAGGUGAACUGGCUCUCUUUUGUUACUCCUAACAAGGUCCUUUCAACUACACCUGAAUUUCUGUUAAUAGGGUGACUUUUGGAAAGCCCCUAAGUGUAGAGGCUCUAUCCAGGGGAACAAAUUGUGUGAUUAGAGGGUUGGAACUUUCAGCCACAUUCCCUUCCCUACACCUACAAGGAGGGGAGAGGGGCUGAAGAUUGAGUUCAAUAUGGGGUUCAGAGAGCUUCUGGGUUGUGAACACAGGGAGAUUUGGGGAGAGCGGCAUGCCCAGAGAGAGCUUGGGAGCUCCACAUCCUUCUCCCACGUGUCUUGCUCUAUGCAUCCCCUCCAUCUGGCUACUAAGUAAAAUGUUUUCCUGAGUUCUGUGAG